ACAAGCGGUGGAGCAUGUGGUUAAUCGAUGCAACGCGAAGAACUUACCUGGGCUUGACAUCCCAAGAAUCCCCUGGAAACAGGGGAGUGGCCCUUCGGGGAGCUUGGAGACAGGUGCUGCAUGGCUGUCGUCAGCUCGUGUCGUGAGAUGUUGGGUUAAGUCCCGCAACGAGCGCAACCCUUGCCUUUAGUUGCCAUCAUUCAGUUGGGCACUCUAGAGGGACUGCCGGUGUCAAACCGGAGGAAGGUGGGGAUGACGUCAAGUCCUCAUGGCCUUUAUGACCAGGGCUACACACGUACUACAAUGGCCGGUACAAAGGGCAGCCACUUAGCGAUAAGGAGCCAAUCCCGUAAAGCCGGUCUCAGUCCGGAUUGGAGUCUGCAACUCGACUCCAUGAAGUUGGAAUCGCUAGUAAUCGCAGAUCAGCACGCUGCGGUGAAUACGUUCCCGGGCCUU
Molecule: ribosomal RNA, 456 nt
Filed under: uncultured Desulfocapsa sp.
Lineage: Bacteria; Pseudomonadati; Thermodesulfobacteriota; Desulfobulbia; Desulfobulbales; Desulfocapsaceae
Description: bacterial SSU rRNA
Rfam family: Bacterial small subunit ribosomal RNA
Source: RNAcentral